CAGCGCCGUAAAGCGCGGCCGGCGGGGAGCGCCCGGGCCGGAGCGGCGGCGGUCGCGGUCGGAUGCCCGGGGGCGGGGGCAGCCCGGCGCCCGGCACGCAGGGGGCAGCGGAGGCGGGCGAGGCGGCGGCGGGCGGCAGGAUGAGCCUGUCGCCGAAGGAGCUGUCGAGCCUGCUGAGCAUCGUGUCGGAGGAGGCGGGCGGCAGCACCUUCGAGGGGCUCUCCAGCGCCUUCCACCACUACUUCGGGAAGGCCGAGCACUUCCGGCUGGGCUCCGUGCUCGUCCUGCUGCUGCAGCAGCCCGACCUGCUGCCCAGCCCCGCGCAGCGCCUCACCGCGCUCUACCUUCUCUGGGAGAUGUACCGCACCGAGCCCCUCGCCGCCAACCCCUUCGCCGCCGUCUUCGCCCACCUCCUCAACCCCGCGCCCGAGCGCGGCGGCGACGAGGCGGAGCGCACCCCGCUGUCAGGCUUCUUACCUCCCAUAACUCCUCCAGAAAAAUUCUUUCUUUCACAACUGAUGUUGGCCCCUCCUAGAGAGCUGUUCAAGAAGACUCCUCGUCAGAUUGCUGCCAUGGAUGUGGGGAACAUGGCCCAGUCAGUGGACAUCAGUGGGCUGCAGCUGGCAUUAGCAGAACGUCAGUCCGAGUUGCCAACACAGAGCAAGGCCAGCUUCCCCAGCAUUCUCAGUGAUCCUGACCCAGAUUCUUCCAACUCUGGUUUUGACAGCUCUGUUGCUUCCCAGAUCACAGAAGCAUUAGUGAGUGGACCAAAGCCUCCUAUAGAAAGUCACUUUCGACCUGAGUUUAUUCGACCACCGCCUCCACUCCAUAUAUGUGAGGAUGAAUUGGCAUGGCUAAAUCCAAUUGAACCAGAUCACACAAUUCAGUGGGAUAAGUCAAUGUGUGUUAAGAACAGCACUGGAGUUGAGAUAAAAAGAAUCAUGGCAAAAGCUUUUAAAAGUCCUUUGACUUCCCCACAGCAGACACAGCUCCUUGGAGAACUGGAAAAAGACCCCAAGCUUGUUUACCAUAUUGGUCUCACUCCUGCCAAAUUGCCAGACCUGGUUGAAAACAAUCCUUUAGUAGCUAUAGAAAUGUUGCUGAAACUAAUGCAGUCUAGUCAAAUAACAGAGUAUUUUUCUGUCUUGGUCAACAUGGACAUGUCCUUACAUUCAAUGGAAGUUGUAAAUCGGCUUACUACUGCAGUUGAUCUCCCACCUGAAUUUAUUCAUCUUUAUAUCUCCAAUUGUAUCUCCACCUGUGAACAGAUUAAAGACAAAUAUAUGCAGCCUGUCAUACUUGCAUGCUGGUACUGAAAAAAUUGUAGCCGCUCCAAGGAUCCCUGACCAGGGAGGGUCAGGGGAAACCUGAGGAGGUCUGCACACUUCUGGCAUUCAGAAGGUCUACAUGCUGUGAGAGAACCGCCUGGUCCGUCUUGUUUGUGUCUUUCUUCAGUCUUUAAUCAGAAACAAAAUUAUUAAUGUACAGGACUUGUUUAUAGAAGUGCAAGCAUUCUGCAUUGAGUUCAGUC
Parus major (Great Tit) is the source of this 1531-nucleotide RNA transcript. It is a transcript of the gene named CCR4-NOT transcription complex subunit 11, with no coding region annotated. The record is from RefSeq and is a predicted model, not a curated record. The transcript has 8 exons. Lineage: Eukaryota; Metazoa; Chordata; Aves; Passeriformes; Paridae.